UACAGAUUUGUGGUGUGCCCUGGUUUGAACCGAGAUUGGUUUUUUUGGGGUACAGAGGUCACCAUGCUGCAUUGGCAAAGAGGUUGGGGAUUCGUUCAUUGCAGCAAGCGCGAGAAGGCUGAGUUCAUCAGCCUGGUAUGGCGCUACCUCUGCGGGGAGGCAGAGCAU
Non-coding RNA from Lolium perenne, 168 nucleotides. NCBI's taxonomy places the organism in Eukaryota, Viridiplantae, Streptophyta, Magnoliopsida, Poales, Poaceae. The record is from RefSeq and is a predicted model, not a curated record.